GAAUUUACCUUGCAGGGGAGAUACCAUGCUCACAAAGGUGGUUUUCCAAAGGCAAGGCUCAUCCAUCACACUCUGGAUGUGCUGACCCCUGUGCUUUCCCCAAAUGUGGAAAAUUGGCUGCAGAAUCUGUGGCAGUAGGGUGUGUGUGUGGGGGGGGGUUGUGUUUAAGAUCCUUC
RNAcentral lists this small nuclear RNA (176 nucleotides) under Peromyscus maniculatus bairdii (prairie deer mouse). RNAcentral describes it as "U1 spliceosomal RNA (ENSPEMG00000001317.2)". The stretch from base 1 to 144 matches the Rfam family "U1 spliceosomal RNA". Rfam says of the family: U1 is a small nuclear RNA (snRNA) component of the spliceosome (involved in pre-mRNA splicing). Its 5' end forms complementary base pairs with the 5' splice junction, thus defining the 5' donor site of an intron. There are significant differences in sequence and secondary structure between metazoan and yeast U1 snRNAs, the latter being much longer (568 nucleotides as compared to 164 nucleotides in human). Lineage: Eukaryota; Metazoa; Chordata; Mammalia; Rodentia; Cricetidae. The record is from RNAcentral.